GUGAGUUUGUAGCCCAGCUGUCUCCCCCAAGCCCCGCUGGCAGGAAUGGAAACCCAAGCUCUCUCGUAAUGCAGGGGAUGAUGCAAACUUAGAAACUGACCCGGCGCCCGGGAAUGAGGCCCCCCCGCCCCGGGCGUGCGGCGGCCCAGUCGGGGCAUGAAUGGCUGGAGCCCGAUUGCAUAAUCCGCGCGGUAUAAAUAGCCGGCGGGCGGGCCGCUGACGCGCUCGGUUGUGCCGUUAUCGUGCAAUGCUUCAUCCCCGGUGCCGUUCAAUCCCAGGUCGUUUUCCCUUUCAGCUGCAAUGCCGGGAUUUUAAAUAGCAGAGAUGAAAGGCCCCUGCCCCCGCCUCCCUCCUCCCCUGAGUUCAUGUAUUAUGAAUGAAACGGCAGCCUCGCUGCUUCCUGAGGUGCUCCACUUCAGGAAGAUGUGCCCUUCGAAUGGUGUCUCCAGGAUCAGAGAUGGAUCUGUCUUCAUCUGUCCAUACCCCAACUCACCUUGUUGCUAUAAGAAACUGAGCCCUCCAGUUCAAGAAUACAAACCACAGAGAGGGGAAUACUGAAGGGAAAUCUAAAAGGUUGGAGUGCAGUGGUGCUGUGUCUGGAGUUUGUUCCUGCCGUUGGGUUUGUGGUCUUGCUGACUUCAAGAAUGAAGCCACGGACCUUCACGAGAAAUAUUACGUUGUAUGGAUGUACCACUGUUUGUUUAUCCAUUCUUCAGGUGAAGGACAUGUGGGUUGUGCCCAGCGCGGGCUGAAUAAAGCCAUCAUAAUGUGAAGAAGCCGAAGCAGCCUGUGAAGAGGCGCUAGUGGAAAGGAACUCAGGUGCCCCUGCCCUCAGUCCCAGCUGAACUCUCAGCUGACAGCCAUCACCAACUUGCCAGCCACAGGAGUGAGCCAACUUGAGAGUGGAUCUUUCAGUCCCAGUGGAGCCAUCUCAGCUGACACACCAUGGUAAAAAGAUGAACCAUCCUUGCUGAUCCUUGCCAGUGCUGCAGAUACAUAAGCAAAAUAAAUGUUUUUGUUGUUUUAAGCCACU
RNAcentral lists this long non-coding RNA (1033 nucleotides) under Homo sapiens (human). Its description in RNAcentral is "HSALNT0032873". The record is from RNAcentral. Lineage: Eukaryota; Metazoa; Chordata; Mammalia; Primates; Hominidae.